RNAcentral lists this ribosomal RNA (1158 nucleotides) under Triticum aestivum (bread wheat). Its description in RNAcentral is "partial small subunit ribosomal RNA". The record is from RNAcentral. Lineage: Eukaryota; Viridiplantae; Streptophyta; Magnoliopsida; Poales; Poaceae.
AUGAGGCUGGCUGCGGUCAUCGACACGAUCAUCUCCCCCACGCAAUCUGCAUUCCAGAGGGCCAAAUGCAUCCACAACAGUUUUCUCUUCGUCGAGAAUAGUGUUCGCGCUCUUCAUCACCACAAAACACCCACCCUCCUGCUGAAAUUAGACAUAGCGAAGGCCUUCGACAGUGUGUCGUGGGAAUACAUCUUAGAGCUGCUAGAAAAAAUGGGCUUCCCAGCGCGCUGGAGGGACUGGGUAGCUCUACUCCUUUCAACCUCGUCUUCAGCCUGCCUCCUCAAUGGCAUUCCAGGCUGCCCCAUCGAGCACCGGCGUGGCCUGCAGCAGGGCGACCAGCUCUCCCCCUUGCUGUUCAUCCUCUGCAUCGACCCGCUGCAUAGACUCUAAGAAGCUGCAACUAGAGAUGGCCUUCUCCAACCAAUCCCCGGGAGGACAGUGCACAUGCGCACUACUCUUUACGCAGACGAUGCAGUCAUGUUCAUCAAUCUCGCACGAUAGGAGAUCGACGAGCUGCUACACAUCCUGCAUCUCUUCGACGAGGCAACCGGGCUGCGCGUCAACCUAGAAAAAUCGUCGGCCAUCCCGAUCGCGUGCGACGUAAUUGACCUGCACACGGUCCUGCACAACUUUGGGGGCGCGAUCGCGUCCUUGCCAAUCAGAUAUCUCGGCCUGCCAAUCACCACGGCCAGGCUUAGAUUAGUGCACCUCCAAUUCAUCCUCGAUAGGAUCCGCGCACGCCUGGCAGGUUGGAAAGGGAGGCUGAUGCCCAUCGCCAGCAGACGCGUCCUGGUUCGCUGCGUGCUCUCAGCAAUGCCCACAUUCGCCAUCACCGUGCUGCGGGCGCCCAAGAAGUUCUACAAGGAAGUGGACAAGGCCAGGAGUCGCUUCCUAUGGGCGCAAGACGAAGAGGCCACUGGUGGAAACUGCAAGGUAGGAUGUCAGGUGGUGACCGCGCCAGUGCGCGUCGGGGGCCUAGGUAUUCAUGAUCUGCCAAAGUUUGCCCGCGCCCUUCGCCUGCGCUGGUUAUGGCUAGCAUGGACACAGCCAUCCUGCCCUUGGGUCGGCAUCGGUACCCCGUGCGACGAUGCUGGUCACACUUUGUUCGCUGCCUGCACGUCUAUCACCGUCGGGGACGGAACAACAGCAUCCUUCUAG